Molecule: ribosomal RNA, 462 nt
Filed under: uncultured bacterium
Lineage: Bacteria
Description: partial 16S ribosomal RNA
Rfam family: Bacterial small subunit ribosomal RNA
Source: RNAcentral
GACGAACGCUGGCGGCGUGCUUAACACAUGCAAGUCGAACGGAAAGGCCCUUCGGGGUACUCGAGUGGCGAACGGGUGAGUAACACGUGGGUGAUCUGCCCUGCACUUUGGGAUAAGCCUGGGAAACUGGGUCUAAUACCGAAUAGGACCACGCGCUUCAUGGUGUGUGGUGGAAAGCUUUUGCGGUGUGGGAUGGGCCCGCGGUCUAUCAGCUUGUUGGUGGGGUAAUGGCCUACCAAGGCGACGACGGGUAGCCGGCCUGAGAGGGUGACCGGCCACACUGGGACUGAGAUACGGCCCAGACUCCUACGGGAGGCAGCAGUGGGGAAUAUUGCACAAUGGGCGCAAGCCUGAUGCAGCGACGCCGCGUGAGGGAUGACGGCCUUCGGGUUGUAAACCUCUUUCACCAGGGACGAAGCGUAAGUGACGGUACCUGGAGAAGAAGCACCGGCCAACUACGUG